CUCACUUAUUUUCUCCCUAGCCCUAUGACCUCUCCCUAACUCCCUCCCUCUCUCUACCCUGUAUUAGGAUUCUACUCCUUGCUCAGCCCAGUCUUUGUGAGUGGGUUAGCCAAGCGUGUCACAGUGAGAACCAGUGAAUGGUAAUGAACUGUGUGUGUGUGUGUGUGUGUGUGGUGGUGAGGGUGUGUGUCUCAGAGAAGGAGGGAGUAUUCAGUGAGUAUGAGGGCAGAGCCAGCAGAGAGAGGGUGAAGAGCGGAUAGAGGAACGAGAGCGGAGAGAGGGAGGAGAGCAGACAAGGCAGUCGAGGGGGAACAAGGCAGUCGGCUGAUUCACCACCCCUCCAUCCAUCCCUUCUUUCUCCUCUUCUGCUUCAGUGGCGGGAUAGUGGAGGUGUGUGUGGGAAAGGAAACCCUCCCUCCACACACAAACAGACCACUGCUCCUAAUCCCUUCCACCUGCUUCCAUCCCUCUCCCUUCUCCCAUUGUCAUUACUACCUCCAGCUCUGUCUCAUUCCUUCUCACCCCAUCCCAUCUAUCUCUCUAUCGCUCUUUCUUUCUCUCCAGCCCCCACGCCCUUCUAACCCACACGCUCUGUGUCACCACCGUGGUGAAGAAAAUGAUCGCCGAACAAGCUGGAAAAGGUAGAGGAGAGGACAGAGAGAGGAGAAGGAGAGGAAGAGUGAACUCUGUCCAUUCAAAACAAUCCAGACUUUCCCGUUUCCCUGAUGGAUUAUCACCGGCCCCGCGGACAGAAGGAGGAGUGGAGGAGAAAAGAAAAAGACCAAUAGAGGAAGAGAGCAUACAAGAAUUGAGCUCUGGACAGCCAGUUCGCCUAAAGGUCUUGUCUGCAGGCUGUGCUUGGGACUCUGGCUAAUUGUGGAGUAUUCUCAGGACUCCAGCAGAGGAGAGAGAGAUGCUUUCUCUUUCUUUUCAUUCUAAUUAAUUGCCCUCUAUGCAAACACUCAAAGAGCCUUUCUCUUUGAGGGCGAUAAUUUCAUAUUCUGUUCAUAUCAGUAUUUUCCAUUUGUUUGUUCCACACAUACUGUACCUGUAGGCUGCCACUCAAAACGAAAAAGAAAAAAACAUACAAAAACUCUCUGACAUCCCUAGGGGGUUUGGGAGUGGGUGUACAGAGAAAUGAGAGAAUGAACGUGAGAGUGAGAGAUAAAACAUAAUAGUGUGGAGUCUACUAGAAAUAAGUAUUUCCCAGAGUGGUGUGAGGGAAGAAAGAAAGGAAAAUACUAUUUUCACCUCAGGUCUAACCAGUGCUGUGGAUAGACAGAGUAAGACAUCGGUCCCUGCUCAUCGGUCCCUGCUCAUCGGUCCCUGCUCAUCGGUCCCUGCUCAUCGGUCCCUGCUCAUCGGUCCCUGCUCAUACAACACCGAGACUGAGAAGAAUGCACAAGACUGAGGAGAGAACGGACGGACAAACACACAGACAAGUCAGCCUCUCCGACCCCAAUCGCAUUCUGGUCCAUCUCUGUUAGGGUACAGCGCCCUACACACACAUACACUUACUCUCACACACACACUCACUCAUACACAAACGUAUGCACACACUCAUACACAGACACAAAAGAACCUUGGCUUUGUCUGGGACCCUUUUCUUUUCAGAAUUAUUUAUUUUCCCUCUCUCUGCCCCCAUCUCUCCAUAUAGACUCUGAGAACACCAUAUCUCCACUACACAGACCUCUACACUUCCUGAUUCUUACAUUGAUUUGGUCUUUCAGUUCCUCCCUUCUACACAUCUCUACUUCUCUUCCUCUCCCUUUACCUCUUUUUCUCACCGUUCUUCUUUCUCUCCUUUUCUCUCUCUGUCUCUCUGUCUCUCUCACACUCCUUUGCUUUCCUGCCCCCCUCGGCACACCUCACUCCCUCUCUCUUCUCCUACCGCUCCCUCACUUGCCCGGUCUCAUUGUCUUCACAAACAGCAGUGUUAGUGUGUGUGUGUACGGGGGAACCAAUCCAUUCUGCAGUGGAGCCACGGAGCACAGGGGAGCCUGAGGUACUACAUGUGUCUCAAGCAAACCAUGCCCCAGUUUACCUUUGCCUGUUUCUGUGGUCUGCACGGCUUCUGCCGGAGACGGACAAAGAAUAAAAAUAAGAAAAGGGAGGAACAAGUGGAGAUGGAGGAGAAACAGAGGGAUCAGGAGACAGAGGUGUGAAGGAAGUCUGGAGGGACCUCCUCUUCAUCUUCUCAGAGACUCUGUUUUGGUCAUAGUUGAAAAGGGGUUGAAACCCCUUCCUGUGUACCUCAGUCUUUGGGAAUGAAGGCAGGACAUUUUCACCAAACACACUCAGUACCACUGAUUUUUACUCAAUUGAACUUAAAACUGUGGUCUGGAAUUUCUUAUACAUUUUUUUUACUCCAUGUAGGCCAGUACACUUACAAAGUCCUGCCAAAUUGAAUUACAGAUUGUGCCUUUUAGAUGGGGAGAUGGAACAGUAUGUAAUGAUGGCAUUCUUCUUUCUACGUCCAGAUCCUUUUCCAUUAUUCACACUGUGGUCCGUCUCUCCACCUGAAGCAGCUGUCCAAUCAGCAGCUUCACUGGACAGUGUAGGUAGAAGUCAAAGGUUAAAACAAAUGUUAUUUACAAUCCCCUCCACCAAGGGGAUGGGCACACACACAUGUAAAUUAAAGAUAUGCAUGGGUCUGUAAAUGCGACUCACUGCCUCGAUUACAGUAGGUAUUAAGUAACAAAAUUAUAUAUAUAUAUUUUUUACAUUAGAUAAAAGUAGAGACUCAGAGGUAGAAAAUUGUAUAUCAUACACUGCAGUUGAGGAACAAUGGGAAAGUAAUGAUAUUUGAAAGUCAAUAAACUUGUAACUGCA
Oncorhynchus tshawytscha (Chinook salmon) is the source of this 2832-nucleotide long non-coding RNA. RefSeq lists it as uncharacterized. Lineage: Eukaryota; Metazoa; Chordata; Actinopteri; Salmoniformes; Salmonidae. The record is from RefSeq and is a predicted model, not a curated record. The transcript is spliced from 3 exons.